Molecule: long non-coding RNA, 135 nt
Filed under: Cyanistes caeruleus (blue tit)
Lineage: Eukaryota; Metazoa; Chordata; Aves; Passeriformes; Paridae
Description: lncRNA (ENSCCEG00000010133.1)
Source: RNAcentral
GCAAUGUCUGAAGGCACUUCUUUACUAACAUGCUUGAGAUGUAUCUGAGUAGUGAGGCCCCCUGCAUUCACAGCCCCUAGAAAUCAUUGUCUGCAUCGCUGAGUCUUGGCAGCAUAUUGGGCUUGCUGGUGGUAU